This 1979-nucleotide long non-coding RNA is filed under the name Monodelphis domestica (gray short-tailed opossum). RNAcentral describes it as "lncRNA (ENSMODG00000033601.2)". The record is from RNAcentral. Lineage: Eukaryota; Metazoa; Chordata; Mammalia; Didelphimorphia; Didelphidae.
UGUUACUAUGUAAAGGAAAUGGGCCUACUCUUUGUGUAUAUAGGAUUAUACAGCCAAUUACUGAGGGCUCUUGAGCACGAAGGAAAGGGGAAAAUGCAGAGAAGGCCCUGCCAUAAAUUUUUGUGAGGACACAAAGACCUCACUACAUCAUAACAUGCUGAGUAGGAGGGGUUAUAAAGGGCAAGUGGGGCAAAAAGAUAUUGAGACAGACAGCCCAGGGGCUCUGCCACUCUAUCAUGGUCCUGUGGUCACCUCUAUUCUUGACAGUCUCCCUGGAGAGUAGAAGUAAGAGAACCCCACCAUCCCACUCACUCUGGAACAAAACGCCAAAGCCUAGGCACCUAGGAGCCUCUUGUGGAGGGGAGAAAAAAGGAACUGGGGAGGGGAAAAGGUAGAGAGGAAGUGCGCCCCGAGUGUGGGGUUGAGAGGGGCACUAACUCCUGACAGAGAUGUGAGCAGGAUGCCCAGUGACAUCCCUGCCCACCAGGUCUCAGUGGGAAACAGAGUCUGUCUAGCCUGUACUCAUCUCCACUUGUCUGCUUGUACCUUUAAGGCUGGGAAUGUUUGUCUGAGAGGCCAGAGAAGCCAGGACUUGCCUAAGAACAUCCUGAGAACCAGUUGACAGAAAAGUGGUCACAAAAUACAAGCCAAAGACUGCUGAAUCUACUCCCUUAGAAGGAAAUGAUCCCUGCUGGACCCACCAGAACCAUAGCUUUCCAUUCUGAGGGCUGCUAAUGGAUGUCUGAGAGGGGAGAGGGGUCCAGAAAUUUGCCCAAAGGCCAUUCUGAGGAUCGGUUGGCAGAAAAGUGGUCACAACACACAAGCCACAGACUGCUGGAUCCAGUCCCAAAAGAAAGAAAAAAAAUCCCUGCUCAUCCCUCCGGAACAACAGCUUUCCUUUCUGAGGGCUGCUAAUGUAUGUCUGAGAGGGAGAGGGGUCCAGGAAAUUUACCCAAAGGCCAUUCUGAGGUUCGGUUGGCAGAAAAGUGGUCACAAAACACAAGCCACAGACUGCUGCAUCCAGUGCCAAAAGAAAGAAAAGAUCCCUGCUCAUCCGUCCGGAACAACAGCUUUCCAUUCUGAGGUGAGACAGUCUCUAUAGGAUGGGGGACACCUGUGGCUCAGGGGGAAGGUCCAGGGAGACCCAUGGGCCCUGGGAGGCUUUAGUCAGAACCAGCUGGAUGGGGGCCAGGCCUUCAAAAAGCAUUAGACUGGCAGUGUUUUUGUCAUAGAGAGAGGAGGCUGUUUGACUGGGUUAAGGGAGCUGCAGAGGAAUGUAGGAGAGGAGUCUGAAAUGGCUUGUAGUUUUGAGUCUAAAUGAGCCUGUAUCUCAGAGGUCAUCUUGUUCAACCUCCUCAUUUGACUUAAAGGGCUAAGUGAAGUGAAGAAGAGUGGAUGAGUUUGAUCUAUUAUACACAGCCAUGAAGGGAAGGGGGCAAAAGCAAGUCCUGAGUCCAGAACUCCCUUGUCUGCCAAGCUACAUGUCUUACAUCUUGUUAGCUACCUCUUCUGAGAGCCAAGUUUCAUGCACUCAUGUGCAUGUGAGAGACUCCAGUAUCAUAGGACAACUCAGUAUGAGGUGGAGAAAUUCCCCAUAGAUCCUGGACUUCUGUGAGUCUUCAGUCAUGGAGGAGAAGAGAUCAAGUAAGGGGUUUGGAUCAGUCUCUGGAGAAGUGACCUUCCCUGAAUUUCUUUCAUUUAGUCGAACAGAAACUAGCACAUUCCACUCAUACAUUUUGGAACCUCCUUGAACAUUUCCCUGGGAAUUAGAGAUAAAAGCUUAGGCAAGGUCCAUCUUGCUGAUAUCAGAGAUUUCCUCCUCUGGAGUCUCAGAUUGUUGAAGGAAUACUUGGACAUUAGAAAUGGCAUAGAGAUGGGCAAAGAUGGGUAUCAUGGAGGGAAGGGGAUCAAGAAAGGUUUGGUAGACUCGGGUUCAGUAUCAUUUGGGAUUACAAUAAAAACAUGUAUAGUGAAAAACA